AAUCCAGAUGCUGACGAGCCUCAAUUGUGCUUCUUCAUAUUUAGUGUAAAUCCAAACAGCAACGCUCCUGAGUUUGUGUCCCACGUCACCUUCAGUCCGCUCAGAGCAGAGGAAUCAUUUCCAUAGAGAGGAGGCUUUGCAUCGUCAGCUGAUCCUCCACUGAACUGAGAAGCUUUAUAGUCCUGUGACUCCAACUCUGCAGGACUCAGACCCGUCAGUCGACCACAACCACCAUGACUCUCAUCACCCUCCUCAUCUGGACGCUGGCCUGCUGCAGCUUCACAGGAUGCAGCGGCCAGGUGACUGUGACUCAGCCUCCAGUCGUGACCUUUACUCCAGGAUCCACUGUCACACUGACCUGUAACACCAACCCCAAAGUUGCAAAAUGUAGUUCUGUUGAUUGUAUGUACUGGUACCAGCAGAAACCUGGACAGGCUCCACAGCUCCUAAUAUACAGGGUGAGCAAUAGACAAUCAGGAAUACCGGCUCGGUUUAGUGGAAGUGGAAGCAGCUCUGACUUCUCUUUGACCAUCAGUGGAGUUCAGAGUGAAGAUGCAGCAGUUUACUACUGUAAGAGUAUCCAUGUGGUAAACGGAGCAGAUGUGUACACUUUCGGUGGAGGAACCAAACUCGACAAAGACUUGGGUGUGGUGCGGCCCACCCUGACCCUCCUCCCCCCCUCCAGUGAAGAGCUGAAGCAGGGCACUGCCACUCUGGUGUGUAUGGCCAGCGGGGGGUUCCCCUCAGCCUGGAGCCUGGGCUGGAAGGUGGGGGGCAGCAGCAGCUCCUCAGGGGUGUCUCACACCCCGGGGGUCCUGGAGGGAACCGGCCACUACAGCUGGAGCAGCACCUUGAGCCUCCCUGCAGACCAGUGGAGGAAGGCGGGCUCAGUGAGCUGUGAGGCCAGUCUGGACGGACAGAGCCCUGUCACUCAAACCCUGGACCCUGACCUCUGCUCGGAGUAGAGAGACGACCGGAUGGAGUCAUUGUGCUCUACUGUGGGUCUGUUUGAUUUACAUGUGUUCUACUGCAGCUCUGCAUGUCUUCAUGUCUUUUCUUCAACUCAUUAUGACAGUCCAACUCUGUAUUGUGCUACUUUCGAAACAAGAAUAAAUAUUCCAUGUUCUCAUGUCAUUUGUUUUUCACAUUUCUAUUUUUACUUUACUAAAAUAAAAUAUAUCAUCACCAA
Non-coding RNA from Platichthys flesus (European flounder), 1189 nucleotides. The record is from the annotation of a RefSeq genome assembly. Lineage: Eukaryota; Metazoa; Chordata; Actinopteri; Pleuronectiformes; Pleuronectidae.